Maylandia zebra (zebra mbuna) is the source of this 437-nucleotide non-coding RNA. NCBI's taxonomy places the organism in Eukaryota, Metazoa, Chordata, Actinopteri, Cichliformes, Cichlidae. The record is from RefSeq and is a predicted model, not a curated record.
UGUGUGUGCAGGAGAGGAGCCGAGCAGAGAGAGCUGCUUUUUCAUGAAACGGGAGUAAAGUAGUGAACUUAGAGGAGAGAAACGAACUAAAGUAUCGAUCAUGAACCACUACCAACGUCCUGAUCGAUAUCUGCAUCGAUCUGCCCACCCUUGUCUCCUGGAUCGUAGCUGAGAUCAGCGUGAACCACGUGGGUCUCUGCUCCCUGAUCUGUUUCCUGUGUUUGGAAAGAGUUGCAGCUUCAUCACGGAGUUUGUGGGCUCAUUUAAAGCUGAGUAACGGGAGGAGAAGAGUCUGGUGGAGCAGCUAAUUUCAGCCAUUUGGACUCAGCUCAGCCACUACAGAGGAAACGAUGACUUUAACACAAAAGUGAGUUCCUCGGGCAGCAGAAAUCCAAGGAAGAGGAGGAACCAUAAUGGGAGGACAGGCCCCUGCACGG